Molecule: ribosomal RNA, 413 nt
Filed under: Streptococcus pneumoniae
Lineage: Bacteria; Bacillati; Bacillota; Bacilli; Lactobacillales; Streptococcaceae
Description: bacterial LSU rRNA
Rfam family: Bacterial large subunit ribosomal RNA
Source: RNAcentral
GGGUUGUGAGGUUAAGCGACUAAGCGUACACGGUGGAUGCCCUGGCAGUCAGAGGCGAUGAAGGGCGUGCUAAUCUGCGAUAAGCGCCGGUAAGGUGAUAUGAACCGUUAUAACCGGCGAUACCCGAAUGGGGAAACCAGUGUGACUCGUCACACUAUCAUUAACUGAAUCCAUAGGUUAAUGAGGCGAACCGGGGGAACUGAAACAUCUAAGUACCCCGAGGAAAAGAAAUCAACCGAGAUUCCCCCAGUAGCGGCGAGCGAACGGGGAGGAGCCCAGAGCCUGAAUCAGCAUGUGUGUUAGUGGAAGCGUCUGGAAAGGCGCGCGAUACAGGGUGACAGCCCCGUACACAAAAGCGCAUGUGCUGUGAGCUCGAUGAGUAGGGCGGGACACGUGGUAUCCUGUCUGAAUAU